UUUCUUUCUUUUUUUUUUUUUUAACUCCCAUUCUUACAAGUAUAGACAUUCAAUUAAGGCACACAUGUCGCAGGAACCACCUAAAUGUUACAUUCAGCACAUCAUACAUGCAACAGUACUUUUGGACACAGAAGAAUCAACAUGAACUCCGAUGGCUUUUCUACCCUAACUCCACCCAGACACCGUCAUUUAACUGGCUUCCUGAAGAGACCCAAGCAGGCUAGCAGAAUCUUGUGUCACGCUAUGGUAUAUAAAUAAAACACAGGCUUUGAUAUUUAUGCCUCUUGGGAAAAUGACAAUAUCCUGAAAUCAGUAUCGCAUCAAUCUUGGAUCAAUUGGCUCCAAAAGUGUAGACAUUAGUUCCACUAAAUACAGAACACAAAGGUUCAAUAUUUUCCCCCAUUCUUUGCUCAUUCAUUGACAUUUAUCUAAUUGUAAACAAGCUUAAAUUCACA
This 455-nucleotide unclassified non-coding RNA is filed under the name Hevea brasiliensis (rubber tree). Lineage: Eukaryota; Viridiplantae; Streptophyta; Magnoliopsida; Malpighiales; Euphorbiaceae. The record is from RNAcentral.